Molecule: ribosomal RNA, 466 nt
Filed under: uncultured bacterium
Lineage: Bacteria
Description: bacterial SSU rRNA
Rfam family: Bacterial small subunit ribosomal RNA
Source: RNAcentral
GCCAGACUCCUACGGGAGGCAGCAGUGAGGAAUAUUGGUCAAUGGGCGGGAGCCUGAACCAGCCAAGCCGCGUGAAGGAAGAAGGCGCCAGGCGUCGUAAACUUCUUUUGUCGGGGAACAAAGGGCGCCACGUGUGGCGUUGUGAGUGUACCCGAAGAAAAAGCAUCGGCUAACUCCGUGCCAGCAGCCGCGGUAAUACGUAUGGUGCAAGCGUUAUCCGGAUUUACUGGGUGUAAAGGGAGCGCAGGCGGCACGGCAAGCCUGAUGUGAAAGCCCGCGGCCCAACCGCGGGACUGCAUUGGGAACUACCGGGCUGGAGUGCCGGAGAGGUAGGCGGAAUUCCUAGUGUAGCGGUGAAAUGCGUAGAUAUUAGGAGGAACACCAGUGGCGAAGGCGGCCUGCUGGACGGUGACUGACGCUGAGGCUCGAAAGCGUGGGGAGCAAACAGGAUUAGAUACCCGGGUAA